RNAcentral lists this ribosomal RNA (890 nucleotides) under Guomyces nicotianae. Its description in RNAcentral is "Meira nicotianae partial 28S large subunit ribosomal RNA". It matches the Rfam family "Eukaryotic large subunit ribosomal RNA", at positions 39 to 911 of the family's 3401-position model. Lineage: Eukaryota; Fungi; Basidiomycota; Exobasidiomycetes; Exobasidiales; Brachybasidiaceae. The record is from RNAcentral.
UACAUUCAAUAAGCGGAGGAAAAGGAAACUACCAAGGAUUCCCUUAGUAACGGCGAGUGAAGCGGGAAGAGCUCAAAUUUGAAAGCUGGCAGAAAUGUCCGCGUUGUAAUCUCGAGAGGUGUUUUCCGUGCUGGCCCAUGGACAAGUUCUUUGGAAUUGGAUGUCAUAGAGGGUGAGAACCCCGUACAUGCCAUGGACGUACAGUGCUUUGUGAUACACCUUCGAAGAGUCGAGUUGUUUGGGAAUGCAGCUCAAAAUGGGUGGUAAAUUCCAUCUAAAGCUAAAUAUUGGGGAGAGACCGAUAGCAAACAAGUACCGUGAGGGAAAGAUGAAAAGCACUUUGGAAAGAGAGUUAAACAGUACGUGAAAUUGUCAAAAGGGAAGCGCUUCACGUCAGAUAUGUGUGGCGGUAUUCAGCAGUCACUUGUGGCUGUGUAUUUGCCGUCGCACAGGCCAGCAUCGAUUCUAUGUGUCGGAUAAGGGUACGGGGAACGUAGCAUCGGCUUCGGUCGGUGUGUUAUAGCCCCGUACUGGAUACGUCGCGUGGGAUCGAGGUCAGCAGCGCACCCGAAAGGGCCGGUCUUCGGACACGUUUGCGCUUAGGAUGCUGGCGUAAUGGCUUGAAGCGACCCGUCUUGAAACACGGACCAAGGAGUCUAACAUGUCUGCGAGUCUUUGGGUGGCAAACCCAUGGGCGCAAUGAAAGUGAAUGCAGGUGGGAUCCCGUUUGGGUGCACCAUCGACCGAUCCAGAUCUUCUGUGACGGAUUUGAGUAAGAGCAUAUAUGUUGGGACCCGAAAGAUGGUGAACUAUGCCUGGACAGGGCGAAGCCAGAGGAAACUCUGGUGGAGGCUCGUAGACGUUCUGACGUGCAAAUCGAUGUUCAGAUC